CCUACGGGUGGCAGCAGUGGGGAAUAUUGCACAAUGGGGGAAACCCUGAUGCAGCGACGCCGCGUGAGCGAGGAAGUAUUUCGGUAUGUAAGCUCUAUCAGCAGGGACGAAAAAAGACGGUACCUGACUAAGAAGCCCCGGCUAACUCCGUGCCAGCAGCCUCGGUAAUACGUAGGUGGCAAGCGUUAUCCGGAUUUACUGGGUGGAAAGGGAGCGUAGACGGCAGCGCAAGUCUGAAGUGAACUGCCGGGGCUUAACCCCGGAACUGCUUGGGAAACUGUGCAGCUAGAGUGCAGGAGAGGUAAGUGGAAUUGCUAGGGUAGCGGUGAAAUGCGUAGAUAUUAGGAGGAACACCAGUGGCGAAGGCGGCUUACUGGACUGUAACUGACGUUGAGGCUCGAAAGCGUGGGGAGCAAACAGGAUUAGAUACCCCUGUAGUC
Molecule: ribosomal RNA, 440 nt
Filed under: uncultured bacterium
Lineage: Bacteria
Description: partial 16S ribosomal RNA
Rfam family: Bacterial small subunit ribosomal RNA
Source: RNAcentral